GAUGAACGCUGGCGGCGUGCCUAAUACAUGCAAGUCGAGCGCGAGAGUGAGGAGCUUGCUCCUCAUAAUCGAGCGGCGGACGGGUGAGUAACACGAGGGCAACCUACCCUUGAGAUUGGGAUAACUACCGGAAACGGUAGCUAAUACCGGAUACGACUUUUCCACACACGUGGAAUGGUUAAAAGGCGGAUUUAUCUGCCGCUCAUGGAUGGGCCUGCGGUGCAUUAGCUAGUUGGUGAGGUAGUGGCUCACCAAGGCGACGAUGCAUAGCCGACCUGAAAGGGUGAUCGGCCACACUGGGACUGAGACACGGCCCAGACUCCUACGGGAGGCAGCAGUAGGGAAUCUUCCGCAAUGGACGCAAGUCUGACGGAGCAACGCCGCGUGAGUGAUGAAGGGUUUCGGCUCGUAAAACUCUGUUGUUAAGGAAGAACACUUGAGGUAGUAACUGGCCUUGAGAUGACGGUACUUAACCAGAAAGCCACGGCUAACUACGUGCCAGCCGCCGCGGUAA
RNAcentral lists this ribosomal RNA (514 nucleotides) under uncultured bacterium. Its description in RNAcentral is "partial 16S ribosomal RNA". It matches the Rfam family "Bacterial small subunit ribosomal RNA", at positions 28 to 523 of the family's 1533-position model. The record is from RNAcentral.